This 366-nucleotide ribosomal RNA is filed under the name uncultured organism. RNAcentral describes it as "bacterial SSU rRNA". It matches the Rfam family "Bacterial small subunit ribosomal RNA", at positions 526 to 896 of the family's 1533-position model. The record is from RNAcentral.
CGGAGGAUCCAAGCGUUAUCCGGAAUCAUUGGGUUUAAAGGGUCCGUAGGCGGUUUAGUAAGUCAGUGGUGAAAGCCCAUCGCUCAACGGUGGAACGGCCAUUGAUACUGCUAGACUUGAAUUAUUAGGAAGUAACUAGAAUAUGUAGUGUAGCGGUGAAAUGCUUAGAGAUUACAUGGAAUACCAAUUGCGAAGGCAGGUUACUACUAAUGGAUUGACGCUGAUGGACGAAAGCGUGGGUAGCGAACAGGAUUAGAUACCCUGGUAGUCCACGCCGUAAACGAUGGAUACUAGCUGUUGGGAGCGAUCUCAGUGGCUAAGCGAAAGUGAUAAGUAUCCCACCUGGGGAGUACGUUCGCAGGAAUG